Molecule: ribosomal RNA, 254 nt
Filed under: uncultured bacterium
Lineage: Bacteria
Description: partial 16S ribosomal RNA
Rfam family: Bacterial small subunit ribosomal RNA
Source: RNAcentral
UACGGAGGGUGCAAGCGUUAUCCGGAUUCACUGGGUUUAAAGGGUGCGUAGGUGGGCAGGUAAGUCCGUGGUGAAAUCUCUGAGCUUAACUCAGAAACUGCCGUGGAUACUAUUUGUCUUGAAUGUUGUGGAGGUGAGCGGAAUAUGUCAUGUAGCGGUGAAAUGCUUAGAUAUGACAUAGAACACCAAAUUGCGAAGGCAGCUCACUACACAAUUAUUGACGCUGAGGCACGAAAGCGUGGGGAUCAAACAGG